Small nuclear RNA from Cynocephalus volans (Philippine flying lemur), 105 nucleotides. The record is from RefSeq and is a predicted model, not a curated record. Lineage: Eukaryota; Metazoa; Chordata; Mammalia; Dermoptera; Cynocephalidae.
AUGGCUUUAUCAUGCACAUAUACUAAAACUGGACAGAUACACAGGAGACUAGCAUGGCCCCUGCACAAGGAUGACACACAAAUCUGUGAAGCGCUCCAUAUUUUC